GGAGAGUUGUCCGAGUGGUUGAAGGAGCACGCCUGGAAAGCGUGUGUACGGGAAACUGUAUCGAGGGUUCGAAUCCCUCAUUCUCCG
This 87-nucleotide transfer RNA is filed under the name Sedimentibacter hydroxybenzoicus DSM 7310. It matches the Rfam family "tRNA". From Rfam's summary of the family: Transfer RNA (tRNA) molecules are approximately 80 nucleotides in length. Lineage: Bacteria; Bacillati; Bacillota; Tissierellia. The record is from Rfam by way of RNAcentral.